UGGGGGUAGACCGGGAAGUUUUUCAGGAAAUACAUCAGGAAAUUCUCUAACAACAGAAAUAUUAUUCAAAUCUGACUUGUCUUUAUUCAAAUCCAUAACAUGGGCUAAGAAAGCUUGACAUCCGUUUUUCAAUAAAUGAAUAGCUUUGUGGCUUGAUAUGACAGUGACUGAUUUUAGUGGUUUAGUGGUUUGAAUUCGUAUGACAGGUUGGUUAGGAAUAUGAAAACUAACAACCUUACGAAAACAAUCAAUUUUGGCAUGAUGAGUGGUUAACCAAUC
This 279-nucleotide long non-coding RNA is filed under the name Panax ginseng (ginseng). RNAcentral describes it as "long non-coding RNA (PGIN_LNC000061)". The record is from RNAcentral. Lineage: Eukaryota; Viridiplantae; Streptophyta; Magnoliopsida; Apiales; Araliaceae.